UUUCCGUAGGUGAACCUGCGGAAGGAUCAUUCAUAAUAUGUGUUUUAUGGCACUUUUUUAAAUCCAUAUCCACCUUGUGUGCAAUGUCAGGGUUGGUCUCUUUUGAUCAGCCCCAAACAUCAACUAUUAUCUCAACUCUUUGUCUGAGAAAUAUUAUGAAUAAAACAAUUCAAAAUACAACUUUCAACAACGGAUCUCUUGGCUCUC
This 207-nucleotide unclassified non-coding RNA is filed under the name plant metagenome. Its description in RNAcentral is "partial contains small subunit ribosomal RNA, internal transcribed spacer 1, and 5.8S ribosomal RNA". The record is from RNAcentral.